This is a long non-coding RNA of Ipomoea nil (Japanese morning glory), 478 nucleotides long. RefSeq lists it as uncharacterized. The record is from RefSeq and is a predicted model, not a curated record. Lineage: Eukaryota; Viridiplantae; Streptophyta; Magnoliopsida; Solanales; Convolvulaceae. The transcript is spliced from 4 exons.
GUGAUUUCCCAUGUCUUUAGUUGUUAGUCUUGAGAUGUUAUUGUUUGGAAAAGUUCCCUUGGUGUUUAACAGAAAAUUUGAACCUGCGGUCAAUUAAGUUAGAUUAGUGUGGCCAUUCCGUUAUUGCUUUUGCUAUGCAGAUUCUAGAUUAGCAAGUUGAAUUGGGGAACUACAUUUUUUAGACCAAAAAACAGGGCCUGUGAAUAUGAUGAACCACAAAUAGAAGAGUGUGUAGAAGAUGACUUGGUUGGGGUGUGUUUGCACUUUGCAGUGAAUGCUAUUAGAAAUAUGCCAAAUGUUUCUCAUUUGCAAGGCAUUAAGGAUAAACUUCCUCAAUCCCCCAUAAUUGAGAGUUGUGGCUUCCUGUCAAAUGGACAAUGUGUAAAAACGGUAGUGAUGAGAAUUUGAGAAGGUUUACCAGCAACUUGUAGAAUACCUUCCAUGCAUGCAUGGAAAAGUAUGGGAUGUAGCUAAAGGA